CUGAGCAGGUGUACAGGUGAAAGGAAAUUCUGGUGAGGACUGGCAGAUUAUGUAGCCUCCACACAUUUGCACAAAAACAAAUACAAAAAGAGAACUGAAAUACUGCUGAGAGUCCCUGUUCCAGCCCCGAGGUCAUGGAGAUGGUGCACACAGUUCUCAUGGGAGAGGCAGACCCGCCCACAGGCACUGAGGACUCUCAAGGUGAUAAUGAGGUCACGCAGUCUCUGAGGAACCCCGUUCCAUCUCAUUCUGACCGUGCUCCACUACAGAAUUUGUAGGAUUUUCAGCAAAUGUGAUGGAAUCUGAGAACACCAUAUUUAGUAUAAAGAAGAAAAUGUUCCAGUGAAAUGGGAAAAUGAUAUAAAAUGGAAGUACAAUGAAAGAAAAUGAGGAAACAGAGAGAUGUUCACUACAGAUGUCACCCAAAAUAUCAAUCUGAAG
Long non-coding RNA from Chinchilla lanigera (long-tailed chinchilla), 441 nucleotides. RefSeq lists it as uncharacterized. The transcript has 4 exons. The record is from RefSeq and is a predicted model, not a curated record. NCBI's taxonomy places the organism in Eukaryota, Metazoa, Chordata, Mammalia, Rodentia, Chinchillidae.